This is a long non-coding RNA of Bos indicus x Bos taurus (hybrid cattle), 359 nucleotides long. NCBI's taxonomy places the organism in Eukaryota, Metazoa, Chordata, Mammalia, Artiodactyla, Bovidae. The record is from Ensembl.
UCUGUAGUCAUUUGGUAAAAUGGGGUAUUCUCAUACUCUGGAUAGCUGUUUCUUCUAGAUAUCUCUGAAUUAGCCAUUAGAAAGUUUUCAUUUCAAAAGGUCAUAAUUCUGAAAUAUAUUUUAAUUGCAUCUGCUUCGGUAAACAGGGUAUAUUGAAGGAAGAAGAAUGUUGAGUUUGCAGUGCUGUAACGCUACUCUUCUACACAUCUCCCUAGUAUUUCUGUGUGUGGCUCUACUUAUAAAAAAAGGUUCCUUGAGGCCACAGUGAAGAACUGGGCUUAGGUCAGUGAUGAGUAGAGUCAUGGUGAGUAUUAAAAUAAUGGUAGGUAAAAAUAAUAAUAACAAUAAUAAUGAUGGUU